Long non-coding RNA from Pipra filicauda (Wire-tailed manakin), 3946 nucleotides. RefSeq lists it as uncharacterized. NCBI's taxonomy places the organism in Eukaryota, Metazoa, Chordata, Aves, Passeriformes, Pipridae. The record is from RefSeq and is a predicted model, not a curated record. The transcript has 2 exons.
UAAUUUGGCAUAGAUCCAAGUGAGCAUGACUCAGUGAAAUCACUGUAGGCUGCCUUGCAAAUAAAAGAAGUAUAUCUUAUACAACAAGUGGAAGAAAGUUGUCUGGAAUGGAAGCAAGAAUGGUAACUCUGAUUUGAAUAGCCUUUUGUGAAGGAAAUAAAAUGUGCCUGAUGGUGGCUAGUGAAUGUCUACAGCCAGACAGACAUUGCCAUACAUCGGAGUGGCGCUUGCAUUAUCUAGAGUGGUCAGAUAUGUUGAUGUACUGGAGAGGCCAAAGGGAGCAAAAGAGAAGAUGAUGGACUUGGUUUUGGUCAUUCUCCUCUGGAGAUCGGGGGAACUACAUACUGGGCAGCCUCACCUGGAUCCAUGAGAAGGUGAUGGAGCAAAUAAUCCUGGAAACCAAUUCCAAACAAAAAGGCAGGAAGGUUAUUUGGAGUAGCUGACCUAGAUUUACAAAGGUGAUAAGAAGCUUGACCAACUUCUCUGGCCAUGGUUCUGAGGAGCCAGCUGCAAUGGACCCUGUUCUGAGCAGGGAAAUAAGAGUAUAUAACGACCAACCUCAGUGAUGUAUUGGAAAUAAUUAAGAUCACAGUUUAUUUCCUGAUUGUACAAAGAGUCUUUUUUUUUGUUGGAUACUAAGGAAAAGUUAAAAGUCAACAUCUUUUCGUGUUCAGUUGAACUGAAUUUUCAUUGUCUCUAUUAACAGUAAUUAGUUUUCCCUAAUUUUGGCUUUCUUUUCAGACAUUGCACAGGCAAUGUCAGUGUAGACUUAUUGAGAGAAAAUAGAAGACAAGUACUCCUCAGACACAUGAAUGGCUGAAAACACCAACUUCAUCGCUAUAGGAAAAUAGCUUGUGUAGCAAAGAGGCUAAUAAUAAUGUUGACAGAUAUAUUGGUGUAACCCUUAUCUGCAGUGAAACUUAUGUAGUUGUUUUCCUACUUAUCUCCGUUUUUCUAAGAUCAUUUUACUAGGAUAAGAUGUCUAAAAUCAGAUCUUUCUUUGUACAUCCCUCAGUGAAAUAAAUUGACUUUGAUUACUGACAAAUAAUGGAGAAUUUAUUUUUGAGUGAGAACUGCAGCAACCAGUUUGAUGAAGUAGGAAAUUCAAAGGUGCUCAGGAAGCAGGUGUGUACCAGUAUUUUUAGAAAGGGUAGAACAUAUAUAUUUCCCCUAGCUACAAAAGAACUUUCAAACAAAAUAAAUAACAGUAUUAUUGAAAAUCUGAAGCCCUCUGAACUUUGAGGGCUACACGGAUUUCAUGGUACCUGAGUGUGAAUGCAGAAUCACUUAUGUAUCUAGCUCAAAAUCACUGAUUUGGAAACUUACACAACAUGAAGGUAAAUAAUUAUCCAUCACCUUCUGCAUCCAAUAUAAUGUAUUACAUUUAUUACUUUAUGCCAUUACAGAGUAACUGACACUUUCAGCUCUAGCAGCAAACUCUCAGUUGGCUGCAACAUAAAAAUAUCAAGGUAUCAGCAAAUGACUUUUUACUUUUUUAUAGUAUAUUAAAUCUGCAGUUCUGAAAGAGGAAGUUAAAUAUUAGUUGUUUGUUUGGUUUUUUUUUAAAGUAUAGGAGUAAGCACUGAACAAGUUUGUUCCAAGACCAGCACAACUGACGAUGGCCUCUUUUGAUAGAUCUGAAUAAUUUCCAUCCUUACUGCAAUAAUGUUAAUAUUUUUUAGCAAGAGGGAGCAGAUAUGGUAGUUAAUAUUGAGCUAUGUACAUGUUAAAUGACUGGCAACUGGGUUCACGCUACUUGACCAGACAGCUGCAGCCAAACAUUUGUAUGUAAUAUCAAAGAGUUAUAUUAGUUUUUUUCCAUGUGAAAGCAUUAGUUUGAUCCUCUCCCAUCUUAUUAAUAGAAUUUUCAUGAACGCUUGUGAGAACAUUAUUUUUGAGAAUAUAUUCUGCCUUUGAAUUGGUAAGAUGGGACAAAAAAUUGAGUAGGAGAAGUUUUAAUCUGAAGAUGGAAAGAAAGACAUUAUGAUCUCAAAAUACUUUCUUUUGGAAACCAGAGUAAAAUAAGCAUUUUCUGACAGUGUAUCUAUAGUUGUCCUCUGUGCAGCAAAGCACAUUAUAAGUCAGAUGAUACUGCUCUUGACAUUUUUAAUGUUGAGGUGUGCAGAUUUUUAAAACUAUGAGAUAGCAUUAUUGGACUGAAAUUAUUGGACUAUAUAACAUUAAAUUUCAUUUUCUCUAAAGUAUUACAGCAUAUUUUCUGUAACUAGAAAUAGACUCAGAUGUCUAAAGGAAAAAGCCAAACUAAAACCAGUAGCGACAAUUUUUUUUCCCUAGUAUUUGAAAGAGAAUUGAAAUUAUACUUCUGAGUGAAGGAGAAAAUAAUUGACAAUAUUCUGAACUCCUUAAGAUUUCAUGUGAGAUAUGGUUCCAAAAGCUCCAGUUCUGGAAAUGGGCAACUGAUAACUAAAUUUGCUUGUAUAUGUGGUAUUUGAGUAAUUUAUUUGUAAAGGGGUGUUGACUGAUGAAAUGGUAAAAAAAAAAUCCCAGCACUCAAAACUUCAGAAAAGUGACCUGGAAAUGGUGAACAAGAAACUACCAGCUUAAAGCCAAGGUGUUGUUUACUAGUGCCUAUCAAUUUAAGACCUAAAGUAUUAAAAAAACAAAAAAAAGACAGUGAGAAAAGACAAGCCAAAAAGGUAAAUGUAUCUUCUCUUUUGUGGUGAAAAUGUGUUGCUGAAUGGACAUAUGAUAAUUGUAAACAAUUAGAACAAGGGAAGGUACAUUAUUUGUGUUAUAACUGUGCCUCCAGGGUGUCCCAGGUAAUUUUUUUGGUAUUUAAUGUCUGUGUAGUGUGUAAUGAAACUAUGGUCCAUGAAGAACCCACAUUAGGCAUACAGGGAAUCAAAAUAAACAAUAUUUUUGAACGUGAAGAAAUAAAAAAAGCCCUUUGAAAAUUGUUGCUAAUCCUUAAGCAGAUUCUGAGACGAAAACUGAGGCACGAAACUCAGCAGUGGCAGUGGUGGUGACUGAAUUGGGACUUUUAAUUAUUGUCUUCACUAUAAUGCAAUUCCUCUUAUCAAGCAUUGUUCAAGGAAUGUUGUUUUGGGUUUAUUUUUGUCUGGCCUUAGUCAGUCUUCACAAUCUGAAAACGUUUUGUUUAGAAAUCAUCUCAAUCUUCAUCUGCAUAUGUAAACUACUUUUCUCAAAAAUAUUAUUUAGAAAGGAUGUAUUUUUAGUGACAGCUGCCAAAAUUUUUUUUGAUAAUACACUUGCACUAAAACAGUUUCUAUUUAAUAGUACUUCAGCUGUGAAUUUUAUUGAUCUAGUUUUGUGUAAAUAUACUGCAGAAUUUGGAUUUUUCUGUAAAUGUAGAAAAAAACCCUAACAGUUCAUCUUAUCUAUUUUUCUUAAGGAGAAGUGACAAGGCUUAGGGGCUAUUCUAGUAUAUUCAAUACAUUAAAUAAAAAUUUUGUAAUUCUCAGAUCAAGCAAAAGCAGGCAAAUAGCAGAUAUUGCUAUUUUUUUUACAUUGAAUAUAUCAGAUCUACUAGAAGAUCUACUGUGAAACUACAGUAGAGGAGAAUGAGGGGAAGAAUGCAUGUGUCUUAUAACAACUAAAAAUGAGUUUUAAUAUAGGAAGCGAUAAAGCUUAGUGAACAUGUGAAGGUCAUACUACUAUUCCAUAAUACUAGGUCUUGCUAUAUACGAUGUGACUAUACAUUGAAGAAAAGAAAUGUUAUUUGGUGAAAACUAUAUAUUGUUGUGCAUUUUCUUUCCGUUUAACAUUUUCUAUGAAGAGUAACAAAAAUGUGAGGCAGGAUAAUUUAGUAUAAUGGAAAUGUAUUUUCAUAUUGCAUCAUCAUUAUGUUGCCCUGGCAAUACUAAGCAUUUUACUAUGCCGGUCCAUUCAUUAUUGCUGAUGCAUACAGCUUGUACUUUUAUGAGUUCAUCAGUGUGAAUAAACUCAUCUGUGUAGCCACCAGAAA